AAAAGAACAAAAUGAUGACAAGUUAAUACAAAGCCUUUGUGGUCUGGUUAAAAAAACGCCUGGGGGUUUGGGCCCAUGGUCUGUCUAUUGACUUUCCCCCUUGUUGGGUUUUUUUCAUGCUGGUGAUAAAAUUGAGCCCUUGCCUGGUGAUAGUUCUCCUGUUUUUAGUCCAGCUGUGAUGCUCAUUCCCCUU
Molecule: long non-coding RNA, 193 nt
Organism: Dermochelys coriacea (leatherback sea turtle)
Lineage: Eukaryota; Metazoa; Chordata; Testudines; Dermochelyidae
Exons: 3
Source: RefSeq, a predicted model, not a curated record